GUUCUGACUUCUGGGCAUUAACGGCUUCUGGAGGCCAGCCACUCGGUCCACUUAGAGGGAUAACAAACGUCCAUUAACUGUCAAUAAAGAGGAAAGAGAAAAGAACAGAAAAGGGAGGAUGACCAGUGUAAGACACAUUCUGAAGGAGCGACUGAGAGGAGUCUUGUGGACCUCUGAUUUCUUCUCUAUAAAUGUAAGAUCUCUAAGGCUGCAUGCAGUUAAAUAUGCACCCCAUCCCGUUACAUAUGCAGAACUAUUGCCAUUGGGAGCGAUGAAAACGAUUUCCGCUGUGAUUAAGUUCUAUGUUGGGCAUGAUGUCCAGCAGCGGCGAGGAAAAGGCACGCACAGCCAUGGGCCGUGACUGGCCUAGCAAAUCAGAGCAUGGCUUCCUGGCUGACCCUGUGAUGGCUUCAGGACUCUGUAAGUGCCCCACGCCCGGCCAAUGGGACCCAGCCCCAGAUUUUGCUGAAACCAUUGGGAAAGACAACCCUCUUUUUGAAGUCGCUGCACCUCCAGCUGAACAAAACCCGGAGUCAUGUUUGCCAUCCCAAAGAAAGCCUGGCUGAAAAUGAAGCCAGCGUCAAAGAAAAUAGAACCAAGAGUUUGAAAGACAAAGACUUGUCUGACGACAGGGUUUGGGGCCCUGAAUCACUCACACCCAGACUUUUCCAACACGAGAGCCACCCUUCCUCAUUCUCUCUCCUACCUAGGCCAUUAGCCCGUGGUUGGAGGUUUUCAACAAAUGUUGACUAAUUUGUUUGCUAAUGAAAUAAAAAUCCUUAGUCACAGGUCACAAGGCAAGGAGGUUGUUCAAAUUCAUCAUUGCAGUGUUUUGGCUAUUCAUUCAAAAAUACAUAACACGUACACAUAUGGAAUCAUGAAGUUUUUUAAUUCAAUCAGCAGAGCAACCAAAAACAUUAAAAUUAGGCACUAUCCAUAAAUUAUUCUUCUUCUUUGUACAAUUCACCAAAUAACUUCCUUACUUGUUACCAAAAACCGUGCAGCUUGAAGGAUGAGUCAUAGUCCGAUUGUCUGACUCUAGCUUAAAAUCUCAGAGCUCAGAGCUCUCUACUCUAUUGUUCCUUACUAUUUGUGAGAUCCGGAAACCGUCACUUACCCUCAGCUCCUGCCUCUGUAAGAAUCGGCUAGAAUAAGGUGUUCAUUAACCAGGUAGAUUUGAGGUUUUCCUCUUGUUCAUAUAGAUUUUUGAAAAUUAAAAGGAUGGCUUCAAGUGAAGAAUUCUUUAUUCUUUUAACAUGCUGCCAUCAUGUGGUUGCUGUGUUCAUUCACAUUCAAAUAUUUCAAAGAUAACAAUGUUUAUAGUGACCCCUCAUUCAGCAAAGUGCAAAGGAAGAAGCCCCAGAAGAAAAUGAAAGGGAAUCGAAUACCUUCUUCCCAGAAGCUUAGUCCAGAGUAUGGGAGAAAAUAUGUAUAAUUUGCCAAAGUUGUGAAAUAUAUGUGUAAUUUGCCAAAAUGCAAAAUGGAAUGUGGUAGGAACCUGAAAAGACAGAGACUAAGUGCAAAGGAGACCCAGGGAGAGUCAGCCAUCUUAGACUCCAGUCUCUUUUUAAAAUCUUAAGGCUGUAAUUUUU
Equus caballus (horse) is the source of this 1592-nucleotide non-coding RNA. The record is from RefSeq and is a predicted model, not a curated record. Lineage: Eukaryota; Metazoa; Chordata; Mammalia; Perissodactyla; Equidae.